This 608-nucleotide ribosomal RNA is filed under the name uncultured bacterium. RNAcentral describes it as "bacterial SSU rRNA". It matches the Rfam family "Bacterial small subunit ribosomal RNA", at positions 329 to 929 of the family's 1533-position model. The record is from RNAcentral.
UUCCAGACUCCUACGGGAGGCAGCAGUGGGGAAUCUUCCGCAAUGGGCGAAAGCCUGACGGAGCAACGCCGCGUGAGUGAAGAAGGUCUUCGGAUCGUAAAGCUCUGUUGUCGGGGACGAAAGGGUAGACGAGGUAAUGCGUUUACUAAGACGGUACCCGACGAGGAAGCCACGGCUAACUACGUGCCAGCAGCCGCGGUAAUACGUAGGCGGCAAGCGUUGUCCGGAAUUAUUGGGCGUAAAGGGAGCGCAGGUGGGACGGUAAGUCCGUCUUAAAAGGCAGGGGCUCAGCCCCUGUAAGGGAUGGAAACUAUCGAUCUUGAGUGCCGGAGAGGAAAGCGGAAUUCCCAGUGUAGCGGUGAAAUGCGUAGAUAUUGGGAAGAACACCAGUGGCGAAGGCGGCUUUCUGGACGGCAACUGACACUGAGGCUCGAAAGCCAGGGGAGCGAACGGGAUUAGAUACCCCGGUAGUCCUGGCCGUAAACGAUGGAUACUAGGUGUAGGAGGUAUCGACCCCUCCUGUGCCGGAGUUAACGCAAUAAGUAUCCCGCCUGGGGAGUACGGCCGCAAGGCUGAAACUCAAAGGAAUUGACGGGGGCCCGCACAAG